AACACCCAAUUUGAUCGACGCGGCAAGGGCGAUGAGGUCUUCACUUGAAAAAGGACAGCAUUUUGUCGUACGGCGUGCUGAAACAACUGUUGCCUCGUACUUGCAGCCACGAACAAGGCCAGAUCCUCGUUUAUCCAUUCCUCAUCAUUAGUCUGGGCCUAUCGUAGCAGUGAGGUUUAUGGGAUAUGUGAUGGCGAAAUAGCAGCCGGCUGCUAUUAUUCUCAUCGGAGCGAAGGAAACAUUGAAAGCAACAAAUCUCAAGUCUGUCAGAACUGAGUGACCUCAAAUGGUGUUCCCCGAAUCACCAAAUUGAGUGGGCGCGAUGUGAUUUGUCCCGCUUCACUUGCGAUGGAAAUUUCGUAUUAUCGAAUUGAUAUCUGGCUAUGUACCAGCGGC
Molecule: small RNA, 396 nt
Filed under: Histoplasma capsulatum
Lineage: Eukaryota; Fungi; Ascomycota; Eurotiomycetes; Onygenales; Ajellomycetaceae
Also listed under: 1 other name
Description: hypothetical RNA
Source: RNAcentral